UCUGGCUGGGGUGGGAGGUUGCAAAGAGGGAGGAUUAUUGUUUAAACGGGACCUGGUUUGUAGCCUUAAGUCAGAAGAGAGCCAUUCUGUUUGCGUUCAACAUUUCAAAGAAAAGUAACAAUGCUCUCGGAGAGCCCCUCUCUACAAGGCAGCUCAUUAUUGUAAAUGUGGGACAUGUUUAGACUGCUAAGGAGAAUCAUAAAAGUACAGCCGCCACCACAAGCUCCUCCAGCAGCAAACACUGUCCUCAGGCCAGAUCCAUUUCUGGGCAGCUCAGGAGCCUGCAGCCUGAGUGGCAAGCUCACCCGAUGAGACCCAAACGGAGCAAGUGGAGUUACAGAGUCUAAGUGUGCGCGGGGCACAUUAUCGGCAAGGUCUUUUAUGUUAAGGAAAUCAUGACACCUGCCAAUCUUUCAAAUUCCAAAGGGUAAAGCAUGAGGCCCGGAAGGCUGUCAUUGAACAUGACAGGCUUAAUGCCAAGUUUAUAACAGAGAAAGGGCAAUCUUAUUGUGGUUUAUUCAGUUUUCUGUUGCUGCUUCAGGAGGAAGUCUCGCCGUCUCUCUUCCGCACUCUCUCUCUUUGUAAAAGCUAAUUUAGAGCAUUUGAAAUACCAAACGGAUUCUUUACAUAUCUCCUGAGCCCCACUCCUCUUCACUACCCCCGGUCUCUCCUUUAGGGAGCAACCCCUAAAUCCUUCCAAUUUAGCAUCAUGGUGAGACCAGCCUGUUUUCAGUUGAGCGUCUCCUGCCAUUGUGACAGAGAUGUUUCUACCAGCGAACGUUUCUGUUUAAUUACUGCGCACACUGUUGCUCCAUUUCCGUCCAACCUGCCCCUCGCCUGAGCCCAUUGGGCUGAAGAAAGAAUUACUCCCCGCGCUGUUCCUUAGCCUUUCUUCUUCAGAUCUGUAAUUGGCCCUGUGUUUUUGACUUUUUGCUAAUAAGCAGCUUACUUUCUCUCCCCCUAGACUCAACCCACCACUUUUGUUUCAUGAAUUUUACAAAGGAUUUUAAUAGAUGCUUUAGGCUAUGCAAAAUGUUAUAUGAAGGGAAGGCAUUAAUGCAACAGCCUUGACACAAAGGACGUGUGGAUCGCUGCUUAUCAUUAUGGUCAGGUCUCAAAAUUUUCAUUAGUUCUGGAGGACAAAAGAAAAAAAAAAACCAGCCCUGCUGUAUGAAGGAAUAUUAACCUGUAUUGUGUAACCAACUAUAAUUGCUUAGCAUUUUACAUUAACUCUCUUCAGACAUGGCCUCUCAUUAUCUUUACACAUACAUAAUAACUGCUUAUUACAGCGGGAUACUUCAUGCCGAUACAUGGUGGGUAGGGCUGUGUCAGCACUUCUAACGGGAGACCCACGUCCAUGGAUUUAAAAGAGCUGUAAAAUUUACCUCCAGACUAAAGACUGGUAAUCAACUUUUCACCUGGAGAGGGAAUUUUUUGUUUCAAGUAAAAUAAAACAACAACAACAACAAAAAAAAAAAAAAACACUUUUGUUGAGGGAAAAGAGUUGGGUUCGUUUAAAUUAGGAAUGUAAACAAAAACGGAUGAAUGUGCUUAAGUCACUAGUGAGUUCCUGAAGCAGAGAAUUAUUGAAACCUACUAUGAAAUAUGUUUUUGAUGAUUAAAUAUAAAUAGACGAAUGUUAAGUAGCAUUGGAAUUAAAUGCUACGUGUAUAAUGGGCUUUAUGGAAAUGACCACAUGCUCCAGGAAGGCCUUUGUAUGCAGUGGUAGAAGAACACAACACAUAUUUUCAAGAUGUAGAACCCAUAAUUUUCAUUGGGAAAUAAAUUAAAAUGCUUAUAAAUGUUGAAUGUUCGAGUUUGUGAAAAGUCAUCCAACUAUAUAAAAACAUCUGGGCUUUUUAGAAUUAUUUCAAAAUUCUCUUUUCGGAAAGUCUGAGCAACUGUUGUUGACUCAGGAAAGGGUAAGAAUUCGGCAGCACUGAUAUCACCAACUGCUUGAAUGGGGACUUUGAAAAAUAGUUGGUCAGGUUGACAUAUUUUUUUUUUAAAUGAGCCUGCUGCAAAGGCUUGGGUUUCUGGUAGAAGUAUCCCCAGGAUGAAAUUUAUUAUUUCCACUGGCUUUAUAAAAUAUCCCAAAGUUUUCUCAGUAAUCAAGAUCUAAGACUAUUUUUAAAAUCAUGCUGAAAUGAUAGGCAUGAGAUAUGUAGAUACAUUUACACUUUGUCCCAUAGCAUCCUCAGUUUGUCUGUCCUCAGAUAGAAUACAUUUGUCUGUAUUGGACAAGGCAGCUACAAUAAUAGAAUGUCGUGUCUUAAAGCUACCAGACAAUGUCACCCCACGGACGAAUGAGAACUUGCAUGGACAUUCUCUGUUGGGUUGAAAGAAAUCUCAGAAAAAAAUAUUUUGAAAAUGAUUCCAAACCAGGUGGUUCUAUAACAGAAAUUAGAGCUAUUAUCUUUAAGUUCAUUGUGUUUAUGAACAAUUCAUCCAACAUGAGUGGCAGAAGCAGAGUUUGUGUCCUUAAUGUCCAUUAACCAUCUAAUCAUGUCAUCUGCUUCUCUCUUUACUUCGAAAGCCAACACCAAUCUUAGCUCCAUUUCUUAGACUGGAAACAUUACCCAAGAAACAUGCCAAGAAAAUUUUUUAAAAGAUACUCAUUUAAAAGUGCUAGGCCACUUGGACUAUCACGAGAUUUUCCUACUGUGUCUAGAAGUGACAGCUUACAGAAGUGGGAACAUGGACUGAAAGUGACUCUUGGCACAAAUGCAUUAAUGUGUCUUGGUGGUAGUGCGUAAGAAGUAUCAGCCUUGUCCCUAAACUGAUGGAGUGAAGGGUUCCUGGCUGACAAUGACUGUCCUGUGAUGGAAAAAGCUACCACUUGUUAGUGUAGUUCCAGUAAACAGCACGCUGGCCUCACAUGCUAAUUAGCUGUGGCCCAGCUCGCCUGGGCUGUGCAGAGGCACUCUCAUCAGAGAUGAUUGUCAUCAGGUAUCACAGAUGCCUCUCCUGUGGCUCAGCCCAGGCGGGUGCCUGGUGGGGCUUAGAGAAGAAGAGGCAGGAAGCUGUGCAGAGAGAGCCCCGGGUCUCCGGUGCCUCAGCUGCUGGCUGCAAGCAGCUCAUCAUUUCUGCCUGCAGAAAGAAAGAAACAGGGUGAGGCAAGAGGGGUAUCCUACCUGUCGAGCAUUCCAGGAGGCAGUGAUGCAAUCAGCUUGAAGGGAGAGGCUUCAGAGCAAAAACCCUGCAACUAAAGCUACUUGGGGGCUUUCUCCCGCCCCCCCAACCUGGGAUUCUUGGAGAUGACAAAUGCUAAUUCUUUCAAUUCGUUACAUAUUUUUGAAUGGAUGUCUGAGUGGGAUAAAGGAACAGGCCUAAAGAUUUACAAGCUGCAAUCAAGGAUGUGGUGAAGAAAAUAACGCCUCGUGCCAAGAGGUGUGACUGGAGCCCUAAAGCUCAGAUCAAACCGCUUUUCUAGGACCACAUUCCUGAUACUUCGAACAGAAGAAGAAAAUGCUACUUCCUGUGUGCUCCCAGAAUCACAUUUAAAAAUAUUUUUUUAUGUUCGUGUGUCUUGCCUGAAGAUGGAGGAAGAAACGAGGCUCAGGGGCCAGGAUAGGAGUCCAAGAAUCGCUGUUGUGUAUCAGUCACACUGCCUGCACUGUUGACAGGCAUGGUCUCGGGGCUUUUCUACUUUGCAAUUUAGGCCAAAGUAGACUUGGAAAAGAGUGUGAAGAGCAUCCCCACUACUUUAUGGUUAAAACCAAAUGGAGGUUUUCACCAAAACUUGACUAGCCUGUUACCUUGGCUAAUUAUGGUGCCAACUGUGCUGAGGUUUCUGCUUCUUCUUGCUCCUCAGCCUUUGGGCUGCCAUGAAUUCCUUACCUAUGACUGGCCACCUUGUAACAUGCAGGUCCCCAUUCAUGAGUGAGGCACAGGAAAGAGUUGAGCUUGAGAUGGCAUUUAGAAUGCUGGCCAGAAAACUUGGUUUGCAAAUAAACAUUUUCACAACCCA
Molecule: long non-coding RNA, 3970 nt
Organism: Peromyscus maniculatus bairdii (prairie deer mouse)
Lineage: Eukaryota; Metazoa; Chordata; Mammalia; Rodentia; Cricetidae
Source: RefSeq, a predicted model, not a curated record